Molecule: long non-coding RNA, 3473 nt
Organism: Aedes albopictus (Asian tiger mosquito)
Lineage: Eukaryota; Metazoa; Arthropoda; Insecta; Diptera; Culicidae
Exons: 4
Source: RefSeq, a predicted model, not a curated record
GCGUGCUCGAUAGGUAGCCGAUUUGAUAGUUCGAUGGGUACACGAAACUACAAAUCAACCAAAUUUAAGUUCUUUUGACGCAAUUCCGCACCUCCGUCUAAUUACUCUAAUUUGCGUCAAACCGCUAUAGUGGUCUCUAAAUAGUUCUUAUUUGAUCGCGGCAAAAAUUUUCACCCAGUGGUAAGUUAUUUUCACUCAGCGGAGGCUUUUUUUGAAAUUUGGGUUUAGUCAAGAUAAUCCAAAUUUGGCUUCUUACACGGAGCAGCACGCAUGUGUCGGUGCUUCUCUCUUCGUUUUUGACAACAUUCGUGUGGGGCGAGGGGGAAACUCAAACAAUGCUGAGUAAAAAUAAGAGCUGUUAGCCAAAUUUGAGUUUUUAAAACUUAUUCCCUGGGUUAAAAUAUUUUUCAGUGUAGAUUUGGUUUCAGUCUUUGCGGGACUCUGAUAUAAACAGACUCUUACACCGAAAAAUAUUUCUACUCAGUAACAAAUUUUGAAAACGACGUACAAUCAAUGACCAUUCGCGACUACGAAGGUAAAAGAGAUUCCAACUCUUUGUCGCUCUAAUGAAAAACCUCGUAAGGAACUGUAAGAAUGUGCGUGAAAAAAAAGCAAAAAAUAUUUACCUCUCGUUUUUUCUCACGUAAACCUUCACGCACAUUCGACAACUUCGUAGUCGCGAAUUGAUUUAAGGCAUAUCGCAAUUUUUGGUAGCUUUUCUUGUUUUGCGUGCAAUGAGCCAUUUUACGAGACGUUUCGGAUCAGCUGAUCGCUUAUUUCAUGAAUGAAAAUUUGACAGGAGGUUGCGCCCAAGCCCGUGAGUGUUAAUAUCAAUAUCAACACUGUUGUCGUUUCAUAAAAUAGACUAUUAUGUUUCCAGUUCAAAACCGAAUCAGCGACAUGUUUUCUUUUACUUUCGCUUCUUUUGCCUGCUUUUGUCGGAAGUGGCGCGCUGCAUUGUACGCCUGUAAGUCUAUACAGCGUGCUGCUUCCGACAUUGUGUUUAAUGCAAGGCAAAAGCAGCGAAAGUCGAAGUAAAAAUGUCGCUAAUUUGGUUUUGAACUGAAAACAUAAUAUCUGGAGUAUGAAAUAAAAAUAAUGAGCCAUUUUACGAGAUGACAACAUUGUUGAUGAUAUUGAUAUUCACGUGCUAGGUUGCCACCUCUUGUCAGAUUUUCAUCCAUAAUAUUGGCUCGUAAAGCAGACUAUGAGCCAUUUUACGAGACGUUUCGGAUCAGCUGAUCGCUUAUUUUACGAAUGAAAAUUUGACAGGAGGUGUUGCAGAUUCUUCUCCAAAUGCGUAUGUAUUAUAUUAUUUUGCUAGCGCGAUGCAGUGGUUACACAUGUAGUUUUUGUACCACACUCUUGAAAAUAUACACCUUCACAGAUCGAAAAAAGAGUGUAAAAUUCUGUGACAUAUGAUGCACAUAAUUGGAGCGUGGGAUAUCACAGAAGUUUACAUGACAUAUCAUGUAAAAGUCAUAAAAUAUCAUGUAAACUUCCAUUAUAUGUCAUGUAAUUCAGCAUGACUCUGAGAGUUUACAUGACAUAUAACACAAAUUUACAUGAUAUAUCAUGUAAACCAUCAUAACAAUAAGUUUACAUCACUAAAAUGAAGUUUACAUGACGUGUAAAUAUCAUUAUUUUUAACUGUGUUUAUAUUGUAUUUUUUAUAAAUAAUCAGACUUUGGCGACGAAAUUGAACUCGCCCUAAUAUGGUACUAACCUAACAUUUAUGACAUAUUUUCGCCUUCUUUCCCCGAUUCAGGCGAAACCAGCUGAUUUUGUUAUGAAAACAUAAACAGCUGGUAGCCGAGAACAAUAAGGAUGAACGUAAACAUCGGUGAACCAGCUGGUUUUGUUGUGUAAACAUGACCAGCUGGUGGACCGAGAACAAAAGAACUCAAUGGUAAACAUCAAUGAGAGUAUAUUACAGGUGGGGAAGAAGAAGAGAUGGCUAUGUAUUAGUAAGCAAAGAAAAAUGUAAACACAAAUAGUGACGUCACUAUUUGACACGCGUUCUUAUGGGAGCUCGCUUUGCUUGUAGUAGUGACAUGGUUUGCACCAAACACGGAUCUCACGCACACGAAGUGUCUCUUCCACACCUUCAUUAGACUCUCAUUGGGUAAACAUUACGACGGCUGCCGAAAACUGUCACAUUAUCGGACGAAUUACAAAAACCCUGCGACUGAGAUUGACAGCGAAAUCGAAAGCGAAAUAUGAGUACGACGAAAUUUAUCGCAUCAAAGUCUAAGUCGAAAAAAAAAUCGCAAUACAUGUAUGUAUUAUAUAUGCAACCAGCGCACUACGUCUAACGUACAGUAAAUAAACCACCAGGAUUAUUUUUUGGUGUUCGAAAAUUUCCGGUUUUCAACCUUUUCGAUAGUUUUUCUUAGUCUACACGCAUUUUUCCAAAAAGUGCACAAUGCACAUUUGCAAAUAUGCUUAAAUAAUACGCAAAUAUAGGCAAACAAUUUAUCAAACAUUUAGCUCAGGUUUGUAUGAAAUUUACCCAUUUUAGAGUAUCCUUUUCUUAGCGUGCAGAGGUAUCAUGCCGCAGUAUCAAAAAAUCUUUGCUUGCGCAAUUCAGCGGUACGGUAAUGUUGUGUAAACAAAUUUAUUUUGCUAGCGCGAUACAGCGGUACCAACGUACUGCAUGGUGCCCCAUCAGCAUUCGCGACUACGAAGGUACACUGAAAGGAGCCUUGCAGUAAUGACAAGCAUACAAAUGUUUUUAAAUUUACCAUGGCAAAACAUAAUCAUCGACCCACCAACGCUUCUUGUGUGCGUUUUGUUUCUUCUCACAUCAACCGGUUCGAUAGCUGAGUGGUAGCGUGCGAGCCUGGUGAUGUCUAGGUUCUUGGUUCGAAUCCGCCCGGAUUGAAGGAUGUCUACUUGUCGAGUUCAUUUCUACUUCGUCUAGACACCAACCCUAAUUUUCUUUAACAAUUUUGUCUGGUUCUGACCUUAACUACUCACAUGACAUUUGACCAUUCGCAAGACUGUAAAAAAAAAAAAAUCGCGCCAAAAAACUUCUUGUCGCGUUUUAGCAUGUUCUGUGAAAGAAUUUUCCUUUUUUGAAGUUGUGGAGUUUCCUGAUCGGAUCCUGGAACUGCCGCUAAUCGUUGUUGCCGUUCAUUCUGCCUACUCCUGCUGUGAAAUAUGCAAUCAUCUGCCGGAACCCCUUGAGGCCGAAGCUGCUGGAUGAAACGAGCUCCUCUGGAGUUGUGGAGCUUCCUGAUCGGAUCCUGGAACUGCCGCCAAUUGUUGUUACCGUCCAUUCCGUCCUCCCUCGCGUCCUCCUGCUGGGAAAUAUGCAAGUAUCUGCCGGAACUCCUUUGAUGCCGAAGCUGCCGGAUGAAUAGCUGCCAAUAUGCUGACGAAAAUCUUGCAGUUCCUAGAGCUUCCGCCUACUAUACAAAUUUUCGGUUUGGUUAACUUUUAAGUAAGAUAGUGUUACUUUAAUGGGUUUU